AACGCACCUUGCGCUCCUUGGUAUUCCGAGGAGCAUGCCUGUUUGAGUGUCAUUAAAUUCUCAACCCCACCGAUUUGUUUCGGUUGUGGGCUUGGACUUGGGGUGUGCUGGCGAAAGUCGGCUCCUCUCUAAAUGCAUCAGCGGAUUGAAUAUACCCUUUGCUGUCAUCAGUGUGAUAAUCAUGUCUCGCUGUUACCAGGCUCGGUGGUGUUCCGCUUCUAAUGGUCUUCGGACAAUACACUUUUAAAUUUGACCUCAAAUCAGGUAGGACUACCCGCUGAACUUAA
This 287-nucleotide unclassified non-coding RNA is filed under the name uncultured fungus. Its description in RNAcentral is "sequence contains ITS2". The stretch from base 1 to 52 matches the Rfam family "5.8S ribosomal RNA", at positions 103 to 154 of the family's 154-position model. Lineage: Eukaryota; Fungi. The record is from RNAcentral.